Long non-coding RNA from Ornithodoros turicata, 401 nucleotides. RefSeq lists it as uncharacterized. The record is from RefSeq and is a predicted model, not a curated record. The transcript is spliced from 2 exons. Lineage: Eukaryota; Metazoa; Arthropoda; Arachnida; Ixodida; Argasidae.
CCCGCUUGGAUAUGGAGACGUUUUUGCAAGCGUUCGCCAUCGUAGGCGAAGAAGACAUUGAGACGGCCACCACAGAAGUGCUCAUGGCGUGCUACGGCAGGGAGUGGCGAGAAAUCGCUGUGCAGCGGGGACUAGAGGGGGAGCUCUUUUUCAGAGUGCCCCGAAGCUUAGAGGAGCAUACUUUACCGCUAGAAGGUACUGCUCCUUUAAGCUUCGGGGAAGCGGAGCACCUCCUCUACUCCCUGGUGCACCAGUGGAACAGAGCGAGUGCAGCGGGUUGGAGAGAACUCGCUGAACGCUGGAUGGCGAGUCAAAUACCAUUGGAUCCCUGGGUUCUUAUAGAAGACCAUGAAGCACCCAUGUAAACACGUCAGCCAAUAAACGCAUAUCGUCUUUCGCAU